UUGACCUCGGAUCAGGUAGAGAUACCUGCUG
Molecule: ribosomal RNA, 31 nt
Filed under: Parastagonosporella fallopiae
Lineage: Eukaryota; Fungi; Ascomycota; Dothideomycetes; Pleosporales; Phaeosphaeriaceae
Description: partial 28S ribosomal RNA
Source: RNAcentral